AAUGAACGUUGGCGGCGUGGAUUAGGCAUGCAAGUCGAGCGAGAACCCCGCAAGGGGGGACAGCGGCGAAAGGGACAGUAAUGUGUAGAUUACCUGCCCUCAGGUCCGGGAUAGCUGCGGGAAACUGCAGGUAAUACCGGAUAACAUCUCCGGAUCAAAGGUGUGAUUCCGCCUGAGGAUGAGUCUGCAUCCUAUUAGCUAGUUGGUGGGGUAAUGGCCUACCAAGGCAUUGAUGGGUAGCAGGUGUGAGAGCACGACCUGCGUCAUUGGGACUGAGACACUGCCCAGACACCUACGGGUGGCUGCAGUCGAGAAUCUUCGGCAAUGGGCGCAAGCCUGACCGAGCGACGCCGCGUGUGGGAUGAAGGCCUUCGGGUUGUAAACCACUGUCAGAGGGGAUGAAAUGCAGGUGGGUUCUCCCAUCUGUUUGACAUAGCCUCAGAGGAAGGACGGGCUAAGUUCGUG
This 465-nucleotide ribosomal RNA is filed under the name uncultured bacterium. RNAcentral's name for it is "partial 16S ribosomal RNA". It matches the Rfam family "Bacterial small subunit ribosomal RNA", at positions 29 to 507 of the family's 1533-position model. The record is from RNAcentral.